GAUGAACGCUGGCGGCGUGCUUAACACAUGCAAGUCGAACGGAAAGGCUCCUGCUUGCAGGGGUACUCGAGUGGCGAACGGGUGAGUAACACGUGGGUGAUCUGCCCUGCACUUCGGGAUAAGCCUGGGAAACUGGGUCUAAUACCGGAUAGGACCACAUUUUGGAUGGUGUGGUGGAAAGUUUUUCGGUGUGGGAUGAGCGUGCGGCCUAUCAGCUUGUUGGUGGGGUAAUGGCCUACCAAGGCGUCGACGGGUAGCCGGCCUGAGAGGGUGUACGGCCACAUUGGGACUGAGAUACGGCCCAGACUCCUACGGGAGGCAGCAGUGGGGAAUAUUGCACAAUGGGCGCAAGCCUGAUGCAGCGACGCCGCGUGGGGGAUGACGGCCUUCGGGUUGUAAACUCCUUUCGCUAGGGACGAAGCGCAAGUGACGGUACCUGGAGAAGAAGCACCGGCUAACUACGUG
RNAcentral lists this ribosomal RNA (465 nucleotides) under uncultured bacterium. RNAcentral's name for it is "partial 16S ribosomal RNA". It matches the Rfam family "Bacterial small subunit ribosomal RNA", at positions 28 to 507 of the family's 1533-position model. The record is from RNAcentral.